RNAcentral lists this ribosomal RNA (182 nucleotides) under uncultured bacterium. RNAcentral's name for it is "partial 16S ribosomal RNA". It matches the Rfam family "Bacterial small subunit ribosomal RNA", at positions 1319 to 1500 of the family's 1533-position model. The record is from RNAcentral.
CAUGAAGUCGGAAUCGCUAGUAAUCGCGGAUCAGCACGCCGCGGUGAAUACGUUCCCGGGCCUUGUACACACCGCCCGUCACACCAUGGGAGUUGGGAGCACCCGAAGCCGGUGAGUUGACCGCAAGGGGACAGCCGUCGAAGGUGAGACUGAUGACUGGGGUGAAGUCGUAACAAGGUAUC